GAUGAACGCUAGCGGCAGGCUUAACACAUGCAAGUCGAGGGGUAACGGGAGUAGCUUGCUACUUGCUGACGACCGGCGCACGGGUGCGUAACGCGUAUACAAUCUGCCUUACACUGGAGGAUAGCCCGGAGAAAUCCGGAUUAAUACUCCAUAGUAUUUUCUUAUCGCAUGAUAAGAUUCUUAAAGUUUCGGCGGUGUAAGAUGAGUAUGCGUGAUAUUAGCUAGUUGGUAAGGUAACGGCUUACCAAGGCAACGAUAUCUAGGGGGUCUGAGAGGACUAUCCCCCACACUGGUACUGAGACACGGACCAGACUCCUACGGGAGGCAGCAGUGAGGAAUAUUGGUCAAUGGAGGCAACUCUGAACCAGCCAUGCCGCGUGAAGGAAGAAGGCCUUAUGGGUUGUAAACUUCUUUUAUUUGGGAAGAAACCUUUCUACGUGUAGAGAGCUGACGGUACCAAACGAAUAAGGACCGGCUAACUCCG
This 484-nucleotide ribosomal RNA is filed under the name uncultured Crocinitomix sp. RNAcentral describes it as "bacterial SSU rRNA". It matches the Rfam family "Bacterial small subunit ribosomal RNA", at positions 28 to 505 of the family's 1533-position model. The record is from RNAcentral. Lineage: Bacteria; Pseudomonadati; Bacteroidota; Flavobacteriia; Flavobacteriales; Crocinitomicaceae.